This 557-nucleotide ribosomal RNA is filed under the name uncultured archaeon. Its description in RNAcentral is "bacterial SSU rRNA". It matches the Rfam family "Archaeal small subunit ribosomal RNA", at positions 321 to 879 of the family's 1478-position model. The record is from RNAcentral.
CCCUACGGGGCGCAGCAGGCGCGAAAACUUCACAAUGUGCGAAAGCACGAUGAGGGAAUCCCAAGUGCUUGCACGUAAGUGUAAGCUGUUUCUUUGUUUAAAAUGCAAUGAGAGUAAGGGCUGGGUAAGACGGGUGCCAGCCGCCGCGGUAAUACCUGCAGCUCGAGUGGUGGCCGCUAUUAUUGGGCCUAAAACGUCCGUAGCCUGUUUAUUAAAUGCCUGGGUAAAUCGUGUAGCUCAACUAUACGAAUUCCGGGUAGACUGAUAAACUUGAGAUCGGGAGAAGUUAGAGGUACUCCUGGGGUAGAGGUGAAAUUCUGUAAUCCUAGGGGGACCACCAGUGGCGAGGGCGUCUGACUAGAACGAGUCUGACGGUGAGGGACGAAGCCCUGGGGCGCAAACCGGAUUAGAUACCCGGGUAGUCCAGGGUGUAAACGCUGCUUGCUUGAUGUUAGUCGGGCUCCGAGCCCGAUUAGUGUCGGAGAGAAGUUGUUAAGCAAGCUGCCUGGGAAGUACGGUCGCAAGGCUGAAACUUAAAGGAAUUGGCGGGGGAGCAC